CCUACGGGAGGCAGCAGUGAGGAAUAUUGGUCAAUGGACGCAAGUCUGAACCAGCCAUGCCGCGUGCAGGAUGACGGCUCUAUGAGUUGUAAACUGCUUUUGUACGAGGGUAAACCCCGAUACGUGUAUCGGGUUGAAAGUAUCGUACGAAUAAGGAUCGGCUAACUCCGUGCCAGCAGCCGCGGUAAUACGGAGGAUCCGAGCGUUAUCCGGAUUUAUUGGGUUUAAAGGGUGCGUAGGCGGACUGUUAAGUCAGCGGUAAAAGCCCGGGGCUCAACCCCGGCGAGCCGUUGAAACUGGCGGUCUUGAGAUGGCGAGAGGUAUGCGGAAUGCGCAGUGUAGCGGUGAAAUGCUUAGAUAUUGCGCAGAACUCCGAUUGCGAAGGCAGCAUACCGGCGGCGAUCUGACGCUGAGGCACGAAAGCGUGGGUAUCGAACAGGAUUAGAUACCCUGGUAGUC
Molecule: ribosomal RNA, 459 nt
Filed under: uncultured bacterium
Lineage: Bacteria
Description: partial 16S ribosomal RNA
Rfam family: Bacterial small subunit ribosomal RNA
Source: RNAcentral